RNAcentral lists this transfer RNA (68 nucleotides) under Marmota monax (woodchuck). Its description in RNAcentral is "tRNA.Ala". The stretch from base 3 to 63 matches the Rfam family "tRNA", at positions 6 to 65 of the family's 71-position model. Rfam says of the family: Transfer RNA (tRNA) molecules are approximately 80 nucleotides in length. Their secondary structure includes four short double-helical elements and three loops (D, anti-codon, and T loops). The record is from RNAcentral. Lineage: Eukaryota; Metazoa; Chordata; Mammalia; Rodentia; Sciuridae.
GUUGUAGCUCAGUGGUAGAGCGCUUGCCUAGCAUGUGUGAAGCACUGGGUUCAAUCCUCAGCACAACA